AGCAAGAUGGGAAGGAGGGGCUUGCUCACCAGGCUGGUUGUACACCGUCCCCACAUCCACUCGGAAAGAGCCAAUCAGGAUGCUUCCUAUCAGCUUGUGAUGUAAGACCUAUAAAAGAUGGAGCACCAAGCCUGACUCAUUUGUCCUUGAAGAUAUAUCUGUGAAACGGACUCAAUUCGGCAGAGACUCCUAGGACUUGACCCUUGUCUGGAUUUGACCUUGUCUGGAGCACAGUGGUCAUCAACCCAUAGGGUCCUAAGUGUCUCAUCGGUACCUCUUUCUCUAGCAGCUUUUUCUGUCCCUCUGCUGGAAGGAUGCAUGACACUCUCAGUGCCCGGAAGGUUUCUUUAAUCAAAUGAACCAUGGGCUAUGUGAGGUCAGUUUGGUGACCCGUACCAUGCCCGUUUGAUAAUGGGAGACUCCUGAGCCACUUAUCCAGUGAAAACAAAGGCAAAAACUGAGCUUGAACCUGUCGCCACUGUCUCAGAUGGACCAUGGCGCUCCAUGGCGCAGCAGCUUCAGCCCAAACAUUCCUUUCCUGCAAAGAAAAAACAAAAAACACCUCAUCAAUCCAAUCAUGGAAAUGAAUCAUCACCCCUGCUGGGAAGAAGCAAGCACACAGAGAUGGUACAUCCUCCUGGCUGGCCAGCCCCCUCGUCUACCCAGGGUGGGAGUCAAACGAAGGUGUUGGGAGAGCCUCACCAGUCCCCCAGGUUCUCCUUCUUGUCUAGAAACUACCGCACAUGAUGGGAGACAGGCUGGGGGUUGUGAUCGUGCUAGCCUGGAACCUCUAAUGUCUUCAGGCUUGCCCAUGCCAGGUGCUAGGAUCGACUCUUAAAGAAUGACAUCCUUUGCUAAUGACAGCAAUUGUCUCCUCUCCAAAUUACCGAUGAGAAACCAGAGAGGGUGGCAACAGUUUCUCAGGCCACACAGCUCCUGGAAAUCUGCUUAGUCUCACAAGCCACUAUGACCACCGAGAAACCUGAACCUCCCAAUCCGCUUGGCAACCAUCCCUUGAGCUGGCUCUCACACUGCUUCUAAGGCCGAGAGGCUCCGGUACCUGCUCAGGCCAUGCUGUCAGCACACUGCUCAACUGGUCCAUGGUGUGUGCCCCCAAAUGUGAGCACAGUGGAGGACUUCGAUUGCCUUUCAUUUCACACAGGUUGCUUGGGGCUGCAGAGUGACCCCGGAACAGGGUCCCCACCCCACUACCCUCUCCCCCAAAUGCACACUUCCUGGACCCUGGGCCUGUGCUUCUCAAUGUGGGACUGUUGAGGUGGUGAGUUUCACGGUCAAGGUCACCUACUCCAUAGUCAGCCUGCCCGUCUCUCAUCUCAGCAGCGUCUUCACAACCUAGAACAGCCCCUGAUCUCUCCAACUUCAAGAUCCCCAUAUGGGUCACAAUGUAAUAAAUGGAAAGAAACUGUCAUGAUAUACAA
Non-coding RNA from Peromyscus maniculatus bairdii (prairie deer mouse), 1439 nucleotides. NCBI's taxonomy places the organism in Eukaryota, Metazoa, Chordata, Mammalia, Rodentia, Cricetidae. The record is from RefSeq and is a predicted model, not a curated record.